AGGAAUGUAUAGCAAUUGCUACUUGCACCAUUGUAAAAAUGAUGCAAGAUCGACUAUGUUGAAUAAAAUUCUAGGUAGAAUUUUGAUAAUGACAUUGUCUACCUAUGUGUCUUGACCAAAUUACGUGCCAGCAGUCGCGGUAAUACGUAGAAGACUAGUGUUAUUCAUGUUUAAUCGGUUUAAAGGGUACCUAGACGGCAGAUCAAGCUUACAAUAAAUGACAUCAGAAAGAACAAGUAUAGAAAAUAAAAGGACUAAUCUGCUAGAGUUACUUCUGAGGGGGCUAUAAAGUACUACUGGUGUAGAGAUGAAAUUCUAUGAUACCUUUUUUCGAAAGAAAAGCUAUGGCACAGGUAUAGGCGAAGGCAUCCCCUUAUGUGAUAACUGACGUUGAGGGACGAAGGCUUCGAUUAACGAACAGGAUUAGAUACCCUGGUAGUUGAGGCAGUAAAUGAUGAAUGUCAUAGAUUAGAUGUAUAAGUUUAUUCUAUAAAUGAAAGUGUAAGCAUUCCACCUCGAGAGUAAUUUGGCAACAUUGGAACUGAAAUCAUUAGACCGUUUCUGAAACCAGUAGUGAAGUAUGUUGUUUAAUUUGAUAAUCCGCAAAAAACCUUACCACAAUUUGAAUAUUUAUAUUGUUAUUUCCUUAAUUUUUUAUUUCAUAUUGCAUAAAUAGUUGAACAAUUAAAUUAAAAACGACAUCCUCCGCAACAAAGUAUAUUUUAUUCAUGGAAAAUGCAUAAAAUAUAUGUCUUGUGGAACAAGGCAAUAACAGUAUAUUUACAAGCGUUGCACGGCUGUCUUCAGUUAAUGUCGCGAGGCUAUGGGUUAGUUCCAUUAAUUAACGUAAACCCCUUACUUUAUUUUUAUAUAGAGUAGUUCCCCCACUAAAUUGGAU
This 898-nucleotide ribosomal RNA is filed under the name Bulbothrix isidiza. RNAcentral's name for it is "SSU rRNA". It matches the Rfam family "Bacterial small subunit ribosomal RNA", at positions 357 to 1167 of the family's 1533-position model. Lineage: Eukaryota; Fungi; Ascomycota; Lecanoromycetes; Lecanorales; Parmeliaceae. The record is from RNAcentral.